Long non-coding RNA from Colossoma macropomum (tambaqui), 3412 nucleotides. RefSeq lists it as uncharacterized. The record is from RefSeq and is a predicted model, not a curated record. Lineage: Eukaryota; Metazoa; Chordata; Actinopteri; Characiformes; Serrasalmidae. The transcript has 3 exons.
CUGUGCUUUGACUGUGAGAGUUCAGGACUGGUUGGAGCAGUGAUUGGCGGAGUGGUGGUGCUUCUGCUGAUUCUCGGUGGGAUCAUCUUCGCCCUUAUAAAGAAGGGGAAAAUUGGAACUCCAGAACAGAGGAAGUGAAUUACACUGGAACUCCAGAUCAUUCAGGAUUCCACACCAGACUUUCUUACAGCACAGACUCUUUUCCAUUCUGUAAGAUUUGGGCAUUUGGAGACCUCUCUGGUGGAAACGUGUAACUGCACACAACAUGUAAUUUUGUAACAUGGGUCUGCGCGGGACUGUUUUUUCAGUUUCGCUCCCACAAGAUUUCAUCCUGCUCCCAUAGAAAAUGGUAAUCGUUUGUACUGUUCAAGCCCACAACUGAAAUGUGCUUUCCUGCUUCCGCCCACACAGUUCCAUCAAGGGGAAGUGACAUUCAAUAUCUGACACAGUUUAUUCACAGAUACAUUCCUCUCUGCUGAAAUAACACAGCAGUCAUGGUCAUCAGGCUCACUGUGAGUAACUUCACCAAACGCCAUUUAUGCACCAUUUAAACACAAAGCAGGAAUUAAACCACAGAGUGGCUAUUUUUGGUGUUUUGCGGGGCAGCUGUGGCCUUCGUAUCAUUUAGGGAUGGUUCUGCUUUAUUCUGGCUGUUCAUUAGUUUGUGGCACUUCUCUUUAUGUGUGCUUCAUCCCGCUCCCGCCUGCAGUGGGCUGGGUUCCCUCCCGCUUCCACUCACAACACUGAAAAUUAGACCCAGAAGGCAUUGUGGCGGGUCCAGCGGGAAUCCACAGGAUUGCAGACCCCUACUUCAAACCCCUUCCCUGAGGAGAUGAUUCUGAUGACUGAGAGCUACGAGGGUCCUUUCUGUGUGGAGUCUGUAUGUUCCCCCUGUAUCUGUGUGGGUUUCCUCCCACAGUCCAAAGACCUGCAGUCAGACUAAACUGCCCCAGGUAUGUGUGUGUGUGUGUGUGAGAGAGCAAAGAGCAGUGGUUCAAGGUCAACGUGGACAUCCUGAUCCAGCGAAUGAGACACACAAAUUCCAGUUAGUGAUUUAUCUCUCUUCAUAUAAAAUCCCAAGUUUCCAUUCUCUGUAUGAUUUUCCUGGUUUUGAUCCAGCUAAUGUCUUUAUCUUCACUGUCUUGUCACAUUAAUUCCUCACAUUUACAGGUUGUUUGCCACAGCACACUGGUUAACUCUGUAGCAGAUGGUAACAGGCUACUGAAGGAAAUUUAAAAAAAUAAACAGUGUGUAUGUAUGUGCAUUUUAUUUUAUUUCCUUUUUCAAUAAAAAAGGAAUUUAUUGCUGUUCUUUCAGCUAAACCAGAUGUUCAUGCAUUUGCAAAGAAAUCUACAACUAACUCAGGCAGACUGACCCUGACCUGCCUGGCCACGGGCUUCUACCCCAAAGACGUGAAGCUGGAUGUGAGGAAGUUGCACACUUCACAGCCUGAACACCUACUAAGAUCUUCAGGAGUCAGACCCAAUGAAGAUGGAGCCUACCGGAGUGUGGAGAUCCAGGAGGACCAAACAGCAGAUUAUGACUGCUAUGUGACUCACAGCUCCAUCAAAGAACCACUAGUUACAAAAUGGGGUAAUUCGAUUUACAAUUCUUGGGAUUCCUAGCAGAGUAUAAGUCAUUCCAUGUUCUGCUUUUUCACUGUUACUGCAAUUGUUUGCUUUAUAUAACUGUAAAUGCUGCUUAACAGUACAGCAGAUGUGCAGAGACUAGACCAGAAAUUAGCUUUUUAAAUUGCAUUAAGCUGCUUAUGACACAGAACUUCAAAAUAUUGCCGACUUUAAUCAAUAAAUGUAGAAUUAUUGGUAACAAUGACACAUUUCCCCAUUAACCCUUCCUGCACCAUUGUGACUAAUUUUAAAUAAGGGGAAAAUGUACGUAUGUCCUCAUACAGUAACUUUUCAAAUAAACCUGUGUUAGUCCUGGACAAAGAAACCCUGAGCGUAGGGUUCUCUCAGGCAGGUCAAUGUUCAUACAUCCUUGGAAUAAAGCCGUUCUGAUCUGGACCGUCUCUAAAACACUGGUUGAUUUCAGUAGCGUAAUGCAGUCGGGUUGAUCAGAAUAAGAUUUCUAUACAGAUUCAUUGUAGAUGAGGAGGCCAUACUUCAGAUUCAGAGUUACAUCUGCUGUUCCCACAGUUCAUUUAUUCCAUUUGAAAACUUUCAUUUCAGAAACUGUUUUUUGUUAUUUAAAAAAUGUGGCUCAGAUUUUUGUUCAUUUAUGUGUCUACAGAGGGCCCUCCCUCGCAGGGUGGUCUGGGUUUGGCUAUUGGAGGAGUUGUAGGUGUGAUUUGUGCUGGUUAGAGUUGUCAUCUUUAUCCUGAAUGUAUAAACUGAGUUCAUAUUCCGAGGAUUAUAUUCAGAUUCUGUUCAAAGUACAAAGAAUAUGCACUCUGAAAAUGGACUUCUAUGUCAGAUGACCAAAAAAAAAAAAAAUCUGGCUGAGAAGUGUUCUACUUGCCGUUAUCUGUGAUAACAGAAUGUUUUUUUUUUCAUAUUUUCCACUGGUUGCUAAGUAUUGACUGCUUUACAAAAGUACAAAGUACAAAAGUACAAAAGUAGUGACAGUAGAACUAAACACACUGGCAUUAACCAGAAGUGAACAGAAUUGGGUGCGAAAAGUAACUCUAGCACAUACUGAAGUACGGAAACAGCUGAGCUGAACCUGAGAUUCUGACAGUUUCAUGGUCUGUCUGUGACAGAGCAGUAAAGUCAGUUUACACUGAACAUUUGUUGGGUAUUUGACAUUCUCUCCUCAAUUUCUCAUGAAAUAAACAUUCGAAAAAGAUCAAAACUACAUUUCCUCACUCCUCAGAAUAAAGCCAACAAAACAAUCAAAUAUAUUUCAGAAGUAUCACUUGUUAAAGUGCACAAAACAUGAUCAUUUGGAAAUGAGGAUAACUGGUGCGAUAGUCAUUAAGGGACCAUCUAAAAAGUACAUACAUAUGUUUUAUUUCAUGUAUUUUGCUAAAAGAGGGCAAAAUCUCACUUGUAAUAAACAGAGUGGCGUCUCUUAACUGGGUUUUGCAGUUGACUAAAAGGAGGCCGCUUUCUUAACUGGCUUUGAACUGUUUAGAUGUUCUGUUAAUGACUAAAGCAUCUGCCUUUCUGAAACAUUGUAGAUUGUUUUCUGUCUUCACAGGACUGAGAAAAUGUAGGAUUGAUCAUUUUUCAAUAUUUGUUUCAUGAGAAAUUGAGAAAAGUUGAAUAUUCAGAAAAAAAAGUUUAUUAUUAAUGCAUCUUGAUGCAUCUUUUUUCUGUACAGGAUUUCUAUUUUCUUACUGUCUGAGGACUUGGUACUUUUAAAGCAAAGUAUUUGUAAUGAUCCAUAAUGCGUUUACUUCUAAUAUCUUGUAUUAAUAAAUCAAAUGGAGGUGAUGUGGUUAGUGAACUAA